UUUGAACACAUUGUCAAUGAGCAAUUAUGGGUGUUUUUUUUCUCUCACUAGUUUAGGAAUUUUAUUUCAUUUUAGCUUGGUUGAUUGUUGAACAGGUGUCUGUUGCACAAUGACAUAUUCUUCAACGUAGUAUAAAAUAUGAUGGUCAAACUGCUUUUGUUCUUUUACAUUUGACUGUUACUUGUUCCUACAGAAUCGUGACGGUGUUCCAUCAGCGAAAGACUCUGGAUUCACAGGUGAGAAACAUCCCCUGCUGAUAUGUCUAGUUGCAACAUUGUAACAUUGUUGAAACAUACUUUCUCAUUUUAGGGUCAAGGCUCACAAGUAUAGUUUUUAUGACAAAUUCAGAUGUUCUAUUGAUUUGUGUUAAAGAUUUGACAUGUUUCACUUCUUUCAGCCAUUGCUGAUACAGAGAAUGAGGAGAAUGAGGUAUGAUUGUCCACACUGUCCACUGUAUACCUAGUUAUGCCUCAACUAGUCAUUAUUGAGACAAGAUUGAACUUAAAGUUGUGUUUGUUUGUAGCAGUUUGUUAUAAAAUUAUAAAUUAAAUCAAUUUAAGCAAUUUUGCUUUUCUGACAUUGUUUUCCAGAACUCAGACAUCUCCAGUGACAGUAGCUCAAUAAUUGUUGAGCACGCUUCAAACAAUGAGAUUGUGGACUUAUCUGUACCUGCACUCGUCAGAACAGACAAUGUUAUUGUUAAUGAGAAAAGGUAUGGAUAUGCAGAUGAAGAGGAGGAAUCCCUUUCCAGCUCGGAUUUCACUGAGGAGGAAUAUUUCCUCAGUUACACGUCAUCUGAAGAAACAGAUGGCUCUUCUGCAAAAGUCCCCCAUGGCAAGGAGAAAAUAGCUACAGACAGUGAGCUAUCUGAUUCUGAUGAUGAAAUGACUUUGAAUUCCACAAAUGUGCAACUGCCCUCAGCUGUGUCCUUAUCCCCAUCAGCACCACCUUCAGAAUUGAAGACAAUCUCCAGCAUUGACCUGGGACAAAAUGAUGCUCAUCCAUCAAGAGGUAAAAACAUUCUAGAUAAGACAAGAUAAUCAACAUAAAAGGAUUAUUGUGCCUUUUGUCCUGCUCGUGUGUUGCUCUCAUUCUGUUAUGUUAAUGCAGCAGCACACUAGAGUGGUGCUCUUUGCCCUGCCCCCCACCAUAAACAUUAGUUUUCAUUUUCAGCACGUUUUAAGAUAGAGGAGGGAGCAGCAGUUUAAGUUGAACAUAAACUAUUACUAUCUAUGUUUGUUAAGAUUUGCAGUUGUUUGUUCAGAAUACACUUUUUUGAUAUUUAAGUUAUU
This is a long non-coding RNA of Cynoglossus semilaevis (tongue sole), 1292 nucleotides long. RefSeq lists it as uncharacterized. The record is from RefSeq and is a predicted model, not a curated record. The transcript is spliced from 4 exons. Lineage: Eukaryota; Metazoa; Chordata; Actinopteri; Pleuronectiformes; Cynoglossidae.